AAUAAAGGACGCGUGCAAGGACUAGAAAAACACAGUAGCACGUUUGCUAAGAUUGCUGAUACAUAAAGGCAGUGAUAAGUGUUUGCACCAAGAGGAGCACGUCCGUGUCGGAGGAUUCGGGGCAUCUUCCACUUCAGCGUCCAGGAAGAAGUGGUACGCCAUGGGUCACCUUGGGAGCUACGUUUUUGCUUUGCUGUUGAUCAGUGCAAGCUGGCUGGCGUUAGAUGCCCAGUCAUAUGUGUAUCAUUUCAACUGCAAUAAUCCGCAAGGUCUCUACUACAUCAGCAACCCAGUUUGGACCUCGACAGCGUCAUGUACUGGGACAAAUCUUCUUUUACCAGAUUCAGAAGCAAGUUCAACCUGCGUGCAGAAUUACAUUGCUCAUAUUAACUCUCAACUCGGUACCAUGAGUACAGUAUAUACAGAUUUGAAUGGAGCAGUGUCAUGCUACCCAAGGGUGGAUCCAUGCCCUUCCACAGGAACGAUUGUCAUGUGCCGCAAUACCAUACCUUCCG
This is a long non-coding RNA of Sycon ciliatum, 515 nucleotides long. RefSeq lists it as uncharacterized. The record is from RefSeq and is a predicted model, not a curated record. The transcript has 3 exons. NCBI's taxonomy places the organism in Eukaryota, Metazoa, Porifera, Calcarea, Leucosolenida, Sycettidae.